AUGAACGCUGGCGGCGUGCCUUAUACCUGCAAGUCGAGCGAACGGACGAGAAGCUUGCUUCUCUGAUGUUAGCGGCGGACGGGUGAGUAACACGUGGAUAACCUACCUAUAAGUCUGGGAUAACUUCGGGAAACCGGAGCUAAUACCGGAUAAUAUUUUGAACCGCAUGGUUCAAAAGUGAAAGACGGUCUUGCUGUCACUUAUAGAUGGAUCCGCGCUGCAUUAGCUAGUUGGUAAGGUAACGGCUUACCAAGGCAACGAUGCAUAGCCGACCUGAGAGGGUGAUCGGCCACACUGGAACUGAGACACGGUCCAGACCCCUACGGGAGGCAGCAGUAGGGAAUCUUCCGCAAUGGGCGAAAGCCUGACGGAGCAACGCCGCGUGAGUGAUGAAGGUCUUCGGAUCGUAAAACUCUGUUAUUAGGGAAGAACAUAUGUGUAAGUAACUGUGCACAUCUUGACGGUACCUAAUCAGAAAGCCACGGCUAACUACGUG
This 496-nucleotide ribosomal RNA is filed under the name uncultured bacterium. Its description in RNAcentral is "partial 16S ribosomal RNA". It matches the Rfam family "Bacterial small subunit ribosomal RNA", at positions 29 to 507 of the family's 1533-position model. The record is from RNAcentral.